RNAcentral lists this ribosomal RNA (280 nucleotides) under uncultured bacterium. RNAcentral's name for it is "partial 16S ribosomal RNA". It matches the Rfam family "Bacterial small subunit ribosomal RNA", at positions 773 to 1060 of the family's 1533-position model. The record is from RNAcentral.
GUGGAUUAGAUACCCUGGUAGUCCACGCCGUAAACGAUGGAUACUAGCUGUUCGGGGCAACCUGAGUGGCUAAGCGAAAGUGAUAAGUAUCCCACCUGGGGAGUACGUUCGCAAGAAUGAAACUCAAAGGAAUUGACGGGGGCCCGCACAAGCGGUGGAGCAUGUGGUUUAAUUCGAUGAUACGCGAGGAACCUUACCAGGGCUUAAAUGUAGUGGGACAGGCUUGGAAACAGGUCCUUCUUCGGACUCAUUACAAGGUGCUGCACGGCCGUCGACAGCU